ACGGAAGGCAGCAGUGGGGAAUAUUGGGCAAUGGGGGAAACCCUGACCCAGCAACGCCGCGUGAAGGAAGAAGGCCUUCGGGUUGUAAACUUCUUUUACCAGGGACGAUAAUGACGGUACCUGGAGAAAAAGCAACGGCUAACUACGUGCCAGCAGCCGCGGUAAUACGUAGGUUGCAAGCGUUGUCCGGAUUUACUGGGUGUAAAGGGCGUGUAGGCGGAGCUGCAAGUCAGAUGUGAAAUCCCGGGGCUCAACCCCGGAACUGCAUUUGAAACUGUAGCCCUUGAGUAUCGGAGAGGCAAGCGGAAUUCCUAGUGUAGCGGUGAAAUGUGUAGAUAUUAGGAGGAACACCAGUGGCGAAGGCGGCUUGCUGGACGACAACUGACGCUGAGGCGCGAAAGCGUGGGGAGCAAACAGGAUUAGAUACCCUGGUA
This 434-nucleotide ribosomal RNA is filed under the name uncultured Clostridium sp. RNAcentral describes it as "partial 16S ribosomal RNA". It matches the Rfam family "Bacterial small subunit ribosomal RNA", at positions 341 to 792 of the family's 1533-position model. The record is from RNAcentral. Lineage: Bacteria; Bacillati; Bacillota; Clostridia; Eubacteriales; Clostridiaceae.